GAAAUGCGAUAAGUAAUGCGAAUUGCAGAAUUCCGUGAGUCAUCGAAUCUUUGAACGCACAUUGCGCCCUUUGGCAUUCCGAGGGGCAUGCCUGUUCGAGCGUCAUUAUCAACCCUCAAGCCCGGCUUGCUGUUGGGCCCUGCACCGUUUAACCGCGGUGGGCCCGAAAGAUAAUGGCAGAGUCCGUGGGGACCCUGGAUGCAGCGAGCUUCUUAGCACGCAUCGGAGGCGUCUUCCGGCUCGGUCUUAACCAAUUUUACUUCUAUGGUUGACCUCGGAUCAGGUAGGGAUACCCGCUGAACUUAA
This 306-nucleotide unclassified non-coding RNA is filed under the name uncultured Verrucariaceae. Its description in RNAcentral is "sequence contains ITS1". The stretch from base 1 to 105 matches the Rfam family "5.8S ribosomal RNA", at positions 50 to 154 of the family's 154-position model. The record is from RNAcentral. Lineage: Eukaryota; Fungi; Ascomycota; Eurotiomycetes; Verrucariales.